RNAcentral lists this ribosomal RNA (977 nucleotides) under bacterium endosymbiont of Plateumaris shoemakeri. RNAcentral's name for it is "bacterial SSU rRNA". It matches the Rfam family "Bacterial small subunit ribosomal RNA", at positions 434 to 1405 of the family's 1533-position model. The record is from RNAcentral.
UUUCAACAAGAAAGAAAUAAUAAAAUUUAAUAAAUUUUAUUACUGACGUUACUUGUAAAAGAAGCACCGGCUAACUCCGUGCCAGCAGCCGCGGUAAUACGGAGGGUGCGAGCGUUAAUCGGAAUUACUGGGCGUAAAGAGCACGUAGGCGGUAUAUUAAGUCAGAUGUGAAAUCCCUGAGCUUAACUUAGGAAUUGCAUUUGAAACUGAUAUGCUUGAGUUUCGUAGAGGGGGGUAGAAUUCCAGGUGUAGCGGUGAAAUGCGUAGAUAUCUGGAGGAAUACCAGUGGCGAAGGCGACCCCCUGGAUGAAUACUGACGCUGAGGUGCGAAAGCGUGGGUAGCAAACAGGAUUAGAUACCCUGGUAGUCCAUGCUGUAAACGAUGUCGACUUGAAGGUUGUAAGCUUGACUUGUAACUUUCGUAGCUAACGCGUUAAGUCGACCGCCUGGGGAGUACGACCGCAAGGUUAAAACUCAAAUGAAUUGACGGGGGCCCGCACAAGCGGUGGAGCAUGUGGUUUAAUUCGAUGCAACGCGAAAAACCUUACCUGGUCUUGACAUCCAUGGAAUUUAGUAGAGAUACUUUAGUGCUUCGGGAACCAUGAGACAGGUGCUGCAUGGCUGUCGUCAGCUCGUGUUGUGAAAUGUUGGGUUAAGUCCCGCAACGAGCGCAACCCUUGUCCUUUGUUGCCAACGGUUCGGCCGGGAACUCAAAGGAGACUGCCGGUGAUAAACUGGAGGAAGGUGAGGACGACGUCAAGUCAUCAUGGCCCUUACGACCAGGGCUACACACGUGCUACAAUGGUAUAUACAAAGGGAAGCAUCCUCGCGAGAGUAAGCGGAUCUCACAAAAUAUAUCGUAGUUCGGAUUGGAGUCUGCAACUCGACUCCAUGAAGUCGGAAUCGCUAGUAAUCGUAGAUCAGAACGCUACGGUGAAUACGUUCUCGGGCCUUGUACACACCGCCCGUCACACCAU